RNAcentral lists this small RNA (371 nucleotides) under Arabidopsis thaliana (thale cress). Its description in RNAcentral is "ATSL099130". The record is from RNAcentral. Lineage: Eukaryota; Viridiplantae; Streptophyta; Magnoliopsida; Brassicales; Brassicaceae.
AUUCUUUUAGUAAAUAAUCGUGUAGUUAAUAUGGAGAGAUUUUGGGAAGAUUGUUAAAUAUCAAAUAUUUAAUUCGAAGAUUUUUUUUUUAAUUAUCAAAAACAAACAUUAAAAUUCAGUGGCAGCCAUUGUAAAUAAGUCUCAACUAUAGGAUUUAUUUCAUAAAAUGGCUGCAAAAAUGUAUAUAUAGAUAUUAUGAUUUUUCAUUUUAAGUUUUUUUCCGUAAUAUACCAUCCCAUGUUAUUAUCCACCCAAACUCGUCCCACAAUAUAACCCCGUCCCAUGAAAUUAAACAUAAUUUUGUCAUUUUCUUAUAAAUUUCAAAUAUUUAUAAAAUUUGAAACUUCAAAAUAAAUUUAAUAUCGAUAUGA